GGUAUUCCUUAUCUGUCUAAUGGUUUGUUUGGAGCCUGUCUUCCUGCACUCUGUACCAAAGCGCACGAAGACAGGCUCAUCAGUUUGUUGCCGCUUAAGUACUUAAC
This 107-nucleotide small RNA is filed under the name Serratia odorifera DSM 4582. Its description in RNAcentral is "tp2". It matches the Rfam family "tp2". Lineage: Bacteria; Pseudomonadati; Pseudomonadota; Gammaproteobacteria; Enterobacterales; Yersiniaceae. The record is from Rfam by way of RNAcentral.